RNAcentral lists this ribosomal RNA (328 nucleotides) under uncultured eukaryote. Its description in RNAcentral is "partial 18S ribosomal RNA". It matches the Rfam family "Eukaryotic small subunit ribosomal RNA", at positions 1470 to 1796 of the family's 1831-position model. The record is from RNAcentral.
CCCUUAGAUGUUCUGGGCCGCACGCGCGCUACACUGAUGCAUUCAACAAGCCUAGCCUUGACCGAGAGGUCCGGGUAAUCUUUGAAACUGCAUCGUGAUGGGGCUAGAUUAUUGCAAUUAUUAAUCUUCAACGAGGAAUGCCUAGUAAGCGUGAUUCAUCAAAUCGCGUUGAUUACGUCCCUGCCCUUUGUACACACCGCCCGUCGCUCCUACCGAUUGAAGUUUUCGGUGAGUUGACAGGAGGAUUUUUUUGAAACUGGUUCGCCAGUGGAUUUUAGAUCCAAAUGCCAACGAAUCGAUGGCUUUAGAGGAAGGAGAAGUCGUAACG